Molecule: ribosomal RNA, 460 nt
Filed under: uncultured bacterium
Lineage: Bacteria
Description: partial 16S ribosomal RNA
Rfam family: Bacterial small subunit ribosomal RNA
Source: RNAcentral
CCUACGGGAGGCAGCAGUGAGGAAUAUUGGUCAAUGGUCGAGAGACUGAACCAGCCAAGCCGCGUGAAGGAUGAAUGUCCAGAGGGUUGUAAACCUCUUUUAUAAGGGAACAAAACAGGGGACGUAUACCCGCUUGUAUGUACCAUAUGAAUAAGCAUCGGCUAACUCCGUGCCAGCAGCCGCGGUAAUACGGAGGAUCCGAGCGUUAUCCGGAUUUAUUGGGUUUAAAGGGUGCGUAGGCGGAGUGUUAAGUCAGUUGUGAAAGUUUGCGGCUCAACCGUAAACUUGCAGUUGAAACUGGCAGUCUUGAGUAGAGUAGAGGUAGGCGGAAUGCGCGGUGUAGCGGUGAAAUGCUUAGAUAUCACGAAGAACUCCGAUUGCGAAGGCAGCUCACUGGACUGCAACUGACGCUGAUGCACGAAAGUGUGGGUAUCAAACAGGAUUAGAUACCCCGGUAGUC